UUUAGGCUGGAGACUGUUUUUUUAGAGGGACCACGUGCAUUGUUCUGUUCCCAAGUCUAUGUGCUUUUUAUCUUCUGGCCAGUGUUCAGACUUGUUGCCAGUUUCUCAUAGAACGUUUGGCAGAAAAAUGAGGAGGAAGGCACCAGGGAAACAGAAAUGGAGCAAAGUGGUGGGGAACCUGAGGCUUGGAGAUAUGAAGUUAUAUGCUCCGAUGCAGAGUUAGCAAGUGACAGAGCAAGAACUGCAAUGUAAAUGCAUCUGACACUCAAGCCUGUGUUCUUCACCAUGAGGUCCUACUGUCACCACAGUCUACACACACCUAAGAUGUGUGGGAAUUCAUGGGACCACUUCUGCUCUGACUGUUUCAGUCUUUUGCCUUGGUGUUUAAUAUUGUAUCAUGUUAUUCUCUUUUGUCUCCCAGUGUUUUGGUAUCAUGUUACUGCAACUCUGGAGGUUUUGCUGGCUGGUAGCUGGGUCACUUAGAGUCUUCAAAUGAUUCUUAUUCCUUUGGAAGCGCUUUAUAGAGCAAAGAAAGUUGGUGGAAGUGGGAAAAGAUAGGUGGCUGAUUUCCUCUCCUUGAUCUUAGGAGGACAACUGGGCUUAGGGGCCCCAGAGGAGACGGUGAGCUCAAUGGAGUAUUGUUUUAUGCUGCAUUCUGCAGGCAGGGACUACAUGCCCAGCUCACUAAGGAAGUUCCACCAUUUCUUUUUUUUUUUUUAAUUUCUUCUAAAAAAUAAAACAAAACAAAAAUGGGAUACAUGCACAGAAAAUGCAGGUUUGUUACAUAGGUGUACGUGUGUCAUGGUGGUUUGCUGCACCUAUUGACCCGUCCUUUAAGUCCUUUAAGUUCCCUCACCUCACCUCCCAUCCCCUAAUGGGCCCUGGUGUGUGUUGUUCCCCUCUCUGUGUCUAUGCGUUCUCAUUGUUCGACUCCUACUUAUAAGUGAGAACAUGCAGUGUUUGGUUUUCUGUUCCUGUGUUAGUUUGCUAAGGGUAAUGGCUUUCAGCUUCAUCUAUGUCCCUGCAAAGGGCAUGAUCUCAUUCCUUUUUAUGGCUGCAUAGUAUUCCAUGGUAUGUAUGUACCACAUUUUCUUUAUCCAGUUAAACAUUGAUGGGCAUUCGGGUUGGUUCCAUGUCUUUGCUAUUGUAAAUAGCACUGCAAUAAACAUAUGUGUGCAUCUGUCUUUAUAGUAGAAUGAUUUAUAUUCCUCUGGGUAUAUACCCAGUAAUGGGACUGCUGGGUCAAAUGGUGUUUCUGGUUCUAGAUCUUUGAGGAAUCACCAUACUUCAACCAUCCUCCACAACGGUUGAACUAAUUUACAUUCCCACCAACAGUGUAAAAGCGAUCCUAUUUCUCCACAGCCUCGCCAACACCUAUUGUUUCCUGACUUUUUAAUAAUUACCAUUCUGACUGGCAUAAGAUGGUAUCUCAUUGUGGUUUUGAUUUGUGUUUCUCUGAUAAUCAGAAACAUUGAGCUUUUUUUCAUACAUUUGUUGUCCGCAUAAACAUCAAUUUCUAUUGGAAGCACUGCUGUCUCUAAUUCUGUGGUGUUGGCUUGUGAACAUAGAUGGAAAAAAUAAUUAUACCCUUUUCACCUUCACUUUAGUGAAAUUUAACAUUCCGUUUAAUUAUAGAUGUAGAUAACAAACCAUAGUAGUAUAUGCAGGACCUAUGGCUUCGUCACCAACAGAAUUCAGAUAUUUUCAUAUCAUAUUUCUGAUGUUGUAGAUACCUUAGAAUAUCACUAUACCAAAUGCCACUUCCAAAUUAUGGUUGCUGUUAGACUUGCUGCUAGAUUUUGUAACUUAAUGAGUAUGUGUGAAUUACUAUAUCACAAUUAAACAUAUUUUGAC
Molecule: long non-coding RNA, 1854 nt
Filed under: Homo sapiens (human)
Lineage: Eukaryota; Metazoa; Chordata; Mammalia; Primates; Hominidae
Description: HSALNT0095721
Source: RNAcentral